Anolis carolinensis (green anole) is the source of this 2214-nucleotide long non-coding RNA. RefSeq lists it as uncharacterized. The record is from RefSeq and is a predicted model, not a curated record. The transcript has 2 exons. NCBI's taxonomy places the organism in Eukaryota, Metazoa, Chordata, Lepidosauria, Squamata, Anolidae.
CCUGCCCCCUCCCUCUCCCUCCCUCCCUUACUCUCCGCCUUCAGCAGCUUUGUUGGGCGAUUUCUUUCCUAUUUAGACUUGGCUUUAGCACAGGGAUCCUCAAACUUUUUAAGUGGAGGGCCGAUUCAUGGUCCCUCAGAUUGUUGAGGGGCCGAAUUAUCAUUUGAAAAAAAAAAUACAAACAAAUUCCUAUGCACACUGCUCAUGUCUUACUUGUAGUGCAAAAAAAAAAUUAGCAUUAUAUAUUACUAUAUUGCACUAUACCAUUAUACCAGGGGUCCUCAAACUUUUUGGAAAGUGGGCCACCCUACUGGGAUCUGCGCGCAUCAUCCCAAAAUACAUCACACAGUCCUAAACACUUGGGACGUGUUCGACUUGUGAUUUUGUGAUACGAAAUCCAGCAUAUCUAUCUUGUUUGCUGUGUCAUAAAAUAAUAAUAAUAAUAAUAAUAAUAAUAAUAAUAAUAAUAAUAAUAAACAUCACACAGUUCUAGACACUUGGGAAGUGUUUGACUUGUGAUUUUGUGAUACGAAAAUCACAAAAGGAAAGGGGGCGGUAGGCCAAAUCAGUUUGGGAACCACUUGUUUAAAUCAAGAAAUAGCUUCCUAAGAUCGACAGAGAUACUCACAGGAACAACUCAGCAAGCAAGAGUCCAAAAGUGGCAGGCUAAAACCCGGAACCUCAACUAGUGGCUGGUAGCAGAUGGGAAACUCCCUCCUGGGCACACAGACCUGGAAGGCGCUGAACACACUCCGGCAUUACGAGAUGCAGAUGAAGAGAAAAGUUUCUACAAAGUGGAGCCCACAACAUUUUCUGUCCAGCUGCCUGAAUCUGAGUGGGAAGCAGAAGAUGAAAUGUCUGUGGAGCAGUCAAUGCAAAAUACGCGAGCUGCCUGGCAUGGGAUUGUGAUCAUCUGGAAUUUGUCCUCCGAGGGGGCUCAGAAAUCUCAUUAGCUCUUGCAGGGGAUGCCGGGAAGGGUAAAUGGAAGUGCAAAGGAAAUCAGAAAAAAGAAUUGGCAUCGCUAUCUCUUUGGGUACUGCAGCAAGCUCACACUUUCCAUACGACCAGAGCGGAAUGCCAGGCACGUGUCUAGAUCUAAAACUAACAAAUAGAACUCAGUAGGACUGUGUCAACACUAUCUUUUGUUUAUCCUUAAAAUUACUGUCACAGUAAAAGAUUGCAAUUGUAAUGGGUUUCUAUGGCAAGUACAUGGUGUGCCGUAACCAAAGAAGAUAUGAGGUGAUCAUGCAGACCACAUCCACAGAGUGCUUCUGAUGCACAGAACUUUUACUAUUGCAUUAUUUACAGCACAGUACUGUCUGUCUGCAUAUUAUUUGUAGCCAUUUAUUUGUUUUGCUUUGUAGAUAUUGCUAUAAUUGAUAUUUGCACUAGCAGCUGUAUGUCACCAGUUUUGCUUUUGUUUACUUUGGUUGGAAUCCUAUUAUUAGGGUCAAACAGAAUAGACAUACUGAAUCACUGGGGUUUACAUAAGCGCUAAUUCAUUAAUCUGUUUGCUGUUCUCUUUAUCGCAACUUCUGGGUAAGAACUCCAAAUAGGGUAGCCGCAAUUGUCCCCCACAUUUCCUGUCCUAUCUCCCUGUGUGACGGCGCAAGUGGCACCAUCUAUAUGUCAAACUGUAAGUUGCAAGAUUUGAAUUGUAUCAUGCCUGAUUUUGCCUUUACCCUGUAAAUGUAGUUGGACUGAUUGGUUAUUUAUAGCUGUCAAUCAAUGUUGUUUGCACCAGUUAUAUUGCUCCCUCAGCUCAAUUGUUUGGCUCCACCUCUUCCUGGAGUAGGACAGUGUUUCCUUUUUCAUUCCACCAUCAAGCUUUCUACUAGAUGGACGUGAGAGAGAGACUUGGCUCUAAAAGCCUUUGAUUAAGUUACCUCUCAGCACCAAUUCUGAGGUUCUUACCCUUGAGACUUAUGCUUCAUGUUCAGGCCAACCUUGAACGACGUUGAGGAGUCUCAAGCACCUUCAGAUCAGUUCUUUGGCACCAUAGGAAGACUCUGUGUCUUCAAACAUAGGCCAUUUGGACUGAGGCUGAGGAUUGCUCCGGCAUUCACAGCCAUUGAGAAAGAGGGACCUGGAAAAGCUUCUCAGCUGCAGAGCUCCUUGGACUGUAAUGUAUAUUUUCCUUUACCCCUUUGAAACUUCCAGCUUAUUGCCUUAAAGGGAUAACCUUUUGUGAACAAUAAAACCAGUUUUGAGUUA